This is a long non-coding RNA of Maniola jurtina (meadow brown), 70 nucleotides long. RefSeq lists it as uncharacterized. The transcript has 4 exons. NCBI's taxonomy places the organism in Eukaryota, Metazoa, Arthropoda, Insecta, Lepidoptera, Nymphalidae. The record is from RefSeq and is a predicted model, not a curated record.
AUACCUACAAGGCAAGAGUGAAGAAGCAUCUUCUAGGCAAGCGCACUCCAGUCUAGACCACAUCAUUGCU